UGCCCCCUUUCUUUUUUUUAAAAAUAUUUUUGGAUUACCUUGCCUCAAGGCUUGGGGAUAACACUUUUGUAAACAGAUGCUAAUACCGAAUAAAACUUAUUAUCGCAUGAUAUCAAGUUAAAAGGCGCUACGGCGUCACCUAGAGAUGGAUCCGCGGUGCAUUAGUUAGUUGGUGGGGUAAAGGCUUACCAAGACAAUGAUGCAUAGCCGAGUUGAGAGACUGAUCGGCCACAUUGGGACUGAGACACGGCCCAAACUCCUACGGGAGGCUGCAGUAGGGAAUCUUCCACAAUGGGCGCAAGCCUGAUGGAGCAACGCCGCGUGUGUGAUGAAGGCUUUCGGGUCGUAAAGCACUGUUGUAUGGGAAGAAAUGCUAAAAUAGGGAAUGAUUUUAGUUUGACGGUACCAUACCAGAAAGGGACGGCUAAAUACGUGCCAGCAGCCGCGGUAAUACGUAUGUCCCGAGCGUUAUCCGGAUUUAUUGGGCGUAAAGCGAGCGCAGACGGUUGAUUAAGUCUGAUGUGAAAGCCCGGAGCUCAACUCCGGAAUGGCAUUGGAAACUGGUUAACUUGAGUGUUGUAGAGGUAAGUGGAACUCCAUGUGUAGCGGUGGAAUGCGUAGAUAUAUGGAAGAACACCAGUGGCGAAGGCGGCUUACUGGACAACAACUGACGUUGAGGCUCGAAAGUGUGGGUAGCAAACAGGAUUAGAUACCCUGGUAGUCCACACCGUAAACGAUGAAUACUAGGUGUUAGGAGGUUUCCGCCUCUUUAGUGCCGAAGCUAACGCAUUAAGUAUUCCGCCUGGGGAGUACGACCGCAAGGUUGAAACUCAUAGGAAUUGACGGGGACCGCACAAGCGGUGGGAGCAUGUGGGUUAAUUCGUAGCAACGCGGAGAAACUUACCAGGUCUUGACAUCCUUUGAAGCUUUUAGAGAUAGAAGUGUUCUCUUCGGAGACAAAGUGACAGGUGGUGCAUGGGUCGUCGUCAUCUCUGUCGUGAUGAGUUGGGUAAGUUCCCGCAACGAGCGCAACCCUUAUUGUUGUGUGCUCAGCAUUCAGUUGGGACCUUCUUACCGAGAACUGCUGGUGAAAAUCCGGA
This 1100-nucleotide ribosomal RNA is filed under the name Leuconostoc citreum. RNAcentral's name for it is "bacterial SSU rRNA". It matches the Rfam family "Bacterial small subunit ribosomal RNA", at positions 81 to 1167 of the family's 1533-position model. The record is from RNAcentral. Lineage: Bacteria; Bacillati; Bacillota; Bacilli; Lactobacillales; Lactobacillaceae.